AGUGUAUGGUUUAUAGCAAUUUUUUUAUUUUUUCGCUACUUUUCAACAACCACUUGAUGCUUCUACCGCCGUUGCCAUGGCAACGAAAACUAGAAUCCUUUUGUAUCUUUUGUUUUUUCCCGCCCCGGAUGCAUCCAAUCUUUUUCAAAUUGACCAGAAACUGCAAUCAGACUAUCCAGCGGCUUCUAGAGGCAAUAAAAGGCCUGGAACAUUAGCCUGUCUUUGCAUAAUUGUCGCUUGCAUCUCGCGUGUUCACAAAGCAAGUCUCUCGUCUUAGUUUUCAAUACGAUUUAUAGAAAUUUCUAAUGGGUUCCAAAGCCCGUAAUAAGUUUAAAAAGCGCCGGGAAGGUAAAGGAUUCUCUGGUUCUCCAGCCUGGGAGAAAAGUAGCGAUUCUACAUCGGAAUCAGCGACUUCAAGUUCCUCACGUUCGGCCGCCACGCAGUGUGAUAAACAACAAGAGCAGGAUCCUCCGGCAGCGUCCCAAGCUUCGCAACUCAAUAAAGAGGAGCCCCUAGCCGGUACUUCUAGGAAUAAGAUGGAACUUCGCGGUUUCAGAGACAGCCAGGACGAUUGUUUUGACGGUGAAACUUCCGGCGAAAAUAUUGAAUCGUGCGGUGGAUAUCGACUCAUCGACCUAGGGAAUCUCUCAAACUCCAUUGCUGAAUUUCAUGAGUGUGGAAAAGACUCUUUUAGCAUGACAGAGCACCCUUCGUCAAGAGCUGGGCUUUCCUCAAACAUAAUUAGCCAAUGUAGUAGCUGUGGGAAAAACUCCUGCCUAAAAACGUCUGCAUCUGUCACAGCAAGAGGAAAAUCGCAUGAUGUAAACAGAAGAGCAGUCUACUACUCCCUUGAGUCAGGUGGUGGCUAUGAAGGGCUUGCUACAUUUUGCAGCAUUAUGAAUAUGCCUUGCAUAUCUAAGCCAGCAUACUACAAGCAAGUCGAGAACAUUCUAACAGCACAGGAAGAGGAGGCAGAAGCAGAGAUGGGACUUGCUGCAAAACGACUUAGGGAGAGACUCGCUCAGGAGUCCCAAGAACAGCUCGGGGAGGUUGUGGAUGUUGCUGUCAGCUUUGAUGGCACAUGGGCAAAAAGAGGCUUCACCUCACAGACUGGAGUUGUCUUUGUUAUAUCAGUGGACACUGGUGAGGUCCUCGAUAGCUACGUCCUGAACAAAAAAUGCUUAAAGUGUGAGCUCUAUUUGAACAAGUGUGAUGAGAAUGUCGAGGAGUUUGAGGAGUGGAGGGCAGAGCAUAUGGCCAAGGGAGAGUGUGACGCAAACUUCACAGGAAGUUCGCCAGCAAUGGAGGCAGAAGGAGCCCAAGUUCUGUGGUCCAGGUCCAGGUCCAGAAAAACACAAGAUGCGGUAUCGGUGGAUGGUGUCAGACGGAGACAGCAAGGCACACAACACAGUUCAGCACAUUUAUGAGGGAUGUACUGUCGAAAAGCUGGACUGUGUUGGACAUGUUCAAAAGAGGAUGGGGAAGCAGCUUCUGAAGCUUAAAACCCUGACAAAAGGAAAGCUGGCUGAUGGGCGAUCAAUUGGAGGUCAUGGGAGACUCUCAGAUUCCAAAAUCAAAGAUAUACAAAGGAAGUAUGGGCUAGCCAUUCGGCAAAACACUGUAAAAAGGCCAAACCCUACUGAGAGAGAAGUUGACAUCGCCGUGUACACAAUGAAAAAAAACAUCAUAGCCCUUCUAAACCAUACCGUUGCUAUGGAGGACAAAGCAAAGCAACAUAAGUAUUGUCCAGUUAGAGAGACAUCCUGGUGCUAAUGGCAGAAGGAUAAAGCGCUCAGCACCACUAGAUACACCGACAAGGACUGCCUCCCAGGUGUCUUUCUUGACCUGUUGAGGCCUGUCUUUAUGAGACUUAGUGAGACAAGCCUACUCAAGAGAUGUGUGAGGGGGGCGACCCAGAAUGCGAAUGAGAGCCUCAACUCCCUUGUUUGGGCAAGGUGCCCGAAGCACAAGUACCAUGGCUACAAAGUCAUCAGAUGUGCCGUCGCUGCUGCUGUCUGCCACUUCCAUGCUGGAGCCAGCAGCAGAGAAAAUGUUAUGAGGAGACUUUGUGUUCCUGCAGGGCAACACACAAGAAGGGCAUCCUUCGAAAAAGACAGGAAGCGGGUUCACAAAUCUGACCAGUCUGCCUCAGAGAAUGCCAAGAAGAGGCGAAGGGUCGAGGCUAGACUCAAAGCCCAGCAUGAGGAGGACUUGCGAGCCCAAGAGGGUGUCACUUAUGAGGCAGGAGCCUUUUGAAUUGAUUGUAGACAUGAGAAGCUGGUAUUUUACCAAAUUUCUACUUGAUUACUCAACAUAAACUUGUCAUUCAACUUUAAAGGCUUUUUUCUUGUAAUCCGAGUUACGGCAUUCAAAAAAUAUUAUCUCCUGAACAAUUCAAUGUAUCUGCUUCAAAUUUUCAGGGAAUCUCUUAGUUGAUGUGAUCUGUGUUUUAAGCAAUAGAUUUUUUUAUUGAAGCAAAAGGAACGAUUUUAACAUUUUUUUCAAUGUUAAUUUGGCCUUUAAGAUAAAAAUGAGAAAAUUUAACCAAAUUUUUAGAAUAUCAAAAAAUCCUUCGCUUAAAACACUCUUUACUCUGUAGUGUAUUAGAAAACAUAAAGGAUUUUUAUAUAUCUUCUAUCAUUAUGAUCAAAACAUUUUUUGAAGCUGGUUAGGUGGUUCACAGCAUGUGACCAAUAAAAAUGCACGGUUUCAAAUUACAAUAAUCCACAGAAUAUUAUUAAUAUAUUAUUUGUUAUCCUUGUUAUCUAAGCUUUCCAAAAAUGUAUAGUUUGCUAUACUUUGAAUAAAUAAUUAAAAAGUUAUAAGCCCA
RNA transcript from Nematostella vectensis (starlet sea anemone), 2830 nucleotides. RefSeq lists it as uncharacterized. The record is from RefSeq and is a predicted model, not a curated record. The transcript is spliced from 2 exons. Lineage: Eukaryota; Metazoa; Cnidaria; Anthozoa; Actiniaria; Edwardsiidae.